This is a non-coding RNA of Paramuricea clavata, 298 nucleotides long. NCBI's taxonomy places the organism in Eukaryota, Metazoa, Cnidaria, Anthozoa, Malacalcyonacea, Plexauridae. The record is from the annotation of a GenBank genome assembly.
UGUUGUUCGAUAAACUGCACAACGUAGUUUUAAUAAAUAACCUUUUACCUUGAAAUUGUCUUUGGCUCGUUUAUAUUCAGAUUCAGUAUAUUAUGAUCGUGCACGGGAAUUCGACGAUCCAAAUUUCGAAUUUUCAGAGUCGUGCACCAACGAAAACGCAUUAAAUAAACUAGCAUGAAUGUCCUGAGUUUGACACAAUGCAAAAUCCAUAGAAAACAGGUACAAUUCGGCCAAAAUUUUCACCCAAUUGGGCACGGAAUUGUUUGAAACAUUUUGCCCACUUCACGAAAGGCCCCGC